Molecule: transfer RNA, 71 nt
Filed under: Cavia porcellus (domestic guinea pig)
Lineage: Eukaryota; Metazoa; Chordata; Mammalia; Rodentia; Caviidae
Rfam family: tRNA
About the family: Transfer RNA (tRNA) molecules are approximately 80 nucleotides in length.
Source: Rfam by way of RNAcentral
GGGGAUUUAGCUCAGUGGUGUAAGUGCAUGCCUGGUAAGCAUGAGAUCAUGAGUUCAACCCCUGGUACCCC